This 59-nucleotide transfer RNA is filed under the name Ypthima baldus (common five-ring). Its description in RNAcentral is "tRNA-Ser". Lineage: Eukaryota; Metazoa; Arthropoda; Insecta; Lepidoptera; Nymphalidae. The record is from RNAcentral.
GAAAUAUAAAUAAUUAAGCUGCUAACUUAAUUUAUAGUGAUUUAUUCAUUAAUAUUUCU